This 253-nucleotide ribosomal RNA is filed under the name uncultured bacterium. RNAcentral's name for it is "partial 16S ribosomal RNA". It matches the Rfam family "Bacterial small subunit ribosomal RNA", at positions 524 to 776 of the family's 1533-position model. The record is from RNAcentral.
UACGAAGGGUGCAAACGUUGCUCGGAAUCAUUGGGCGUAAAGCGCACGUAGGCGGCUUCAAAAGUCGGAUGUGAAAUCCCGUGGCUCAACCAUGGACGUGCAUUCGAAACUGCGAAGCUUGAGUAUGGAAGAGGGUCGCGGAAUUCCCGGUGUAGAGGUGAAAUUCGUAGAUAUCGGGAGGAACACCAGUGGCGAAGGCGGCACUCUGGGCCGGUACUGACGCUGAGGAGCGAAAGCGUGGGGAGCGAACAGG